GACGAACGCUGGCGGCGUGCCUAAUACAUGCAAGUCGAGCGGACGAAUCGAAAGCUUGCUUUUGAUUCGUUAGCGGCGGACGGGUGAGUAACACGUGGGCAACCUGCCCUGUAGACGGGGAUAACACCGAGAAAUCGGUGCUAAUACCGGAUAACACGAAAUGUCGCAUGACGUUUCGUUGAAAGACGGCGCAAGCUGUCGCUACAGGAUGGGCCCGCGGCGCAUUAGCUAGUUGGUGAGGUAACGGCUCACCAAGGCGACGAUGCGUAGCCGACCUGAGAGGGUGGUCGGCCACACUGGGACUGAGACACGGCCAAGACGCCUACGGGAGGCAGCAGUAGGGAAUCUUCCGCAAUGGACGAAAGUCUGACGGAGCAACGCCGCGUGAGCGAAGAAGGCCUUCGGGUCGUAAAGCUCUGUUGUUAGGGAAGAACAAGUAACGCAGUAACUGGCGUUACCGUGACGGUACCUAACGAGAAAGCCACGGCUAACUUCGUGCCAGCCGCCGCAGUAA
RNAcentral lists this ribosomal RNA (514 nucleotides) under uncultured bacterium. Its description in RNAcentral is "partial 16S ribosomal RNA". It matches the Rfam family "Bacterial small subunit ribosomal RNA", at positions 28 to 523 of the family's 1533-position model. The record is from RNAcentral.